Molecule: small RNA, 515 nt
Filed under: Pongo abelii (Sumatran orangutan)
Lineage: Eukaryota; Metazoa; Chordata; Mammalia; Primates; Hominidae
Description: processed transcript
Source: RNAcentral
UUUUGCUUGCUGAUUGGGGAAAAAAAUUCCGUGCACAAAAGGAAUUUAAAAAAUAUGCCCUCAAGGAUGAUGAUGCUGAAACUGGAUUGACCGAUGGAGAAGAAAAAGAAGAACCCAAAGAAGAGGAGAAACUGGGAAAACUUCAGUAUUCACUGGAUUAUGAUUUCCAAAAUAACCAGCUGCUGGUAGGGAUCAUUCAGGCUGCCGAACUGCCAGCCUUGGACAUGGGGGGCACAUCUGAUCCUUACGUGAAAGUGUUUCUGCUACCUGAUAAGAAGAAGAAAUUUGAGACAAAAGUCCACCGAAAAACCCUUAAUCCUGUCUUCAAUGAGCAAUUUACUUUCAAGGUACCAUACUCGGAAUUGGGUGGCAAAACCCUGGUGAUGGCUGUAUAUGAUUUUGAUCGUUUCUCUAAGCAUGACAUCAUUGGAGAAUUUAAAGUCCCUAUGAACACAGUGGAUUUUGGCCAUGUAACUGAGGAAUGGCGUGACCUGCAAAGUGCUGAGAAGGAAGAG